RNAcentral lists this long non-coding RNA (382 nucleotides) under Physcomitrium patens. RNAcentral describes it as "long non-coding RNA (PPAT_LNC010780)". The record is from RNAcentral. Lineage: Eukaryota; Viridiplantae; Streptophyta; Bryopsida; Funariales; Funariaceae.
AAGAGGGGCCUCAGUGAGGAGGACAGUAAGUAAGUGUGAGUUGUUAGUGCUGCUGAUGCUGCUGAGUCGCACAGCUAUUCUAUUAUUCUCUAUUAUGUUCUAUUCAAUAUUAUUCAAUUCUAUUAUUAUCUACUCUAUUCUAUUCAAUACUACUCAAUUUUAUUUCUAUUCUGGCAAGGCUAUCUCGCAGUGAGUGAGUGCAUUGGGGAAUGGCAAGGCAGCAGUUGCCCCAGGUCGGACAGAGAUUGAGAGAGUGAGGCAGUUGACUCUGCUAUAUUUAACUCACUCCCCUAACUCACACUCCCUAACUCACCAUUAUUAUUGUGAGUAUCAUUAUUUAUUUUAAAUAUUCAGUGAGCACAAGCAGUCUCUCUCCCCCUCA